AACGAACGCUGGCGGCAUGCCUAACACAUGCAAGUCGAACGAAGGCUUCGGCCUUAGUGGCGCACGGGUGCGUAACGCGUGGGAAUCUGCCCUUAGGUUCGGAAUAACAGCUGGAAACGGCUGCUAAUACCGGAUGAUAUCGCGAGAUCAAAGAUUUAUCGCCUGAGGAUGAGCCCGCGUUGGAUUAGGUAGUUGGUGGGGUAAAGGCCUACCAAGCCGACGAUCCAUAGCUGGUCUGAGAGGAUGAUCAGCCACACUGGGACUGAGACACGGCCCAGACUCCUACGGGAGGCAGCAGUGGGGAAUAUUGGACAAUGGGCGAAAGCCUGAUCCAGCAAUGCCGCGUGAGUGAUGAAGGCCCUAGGGUUGUAAAGCUCUUUUACCCGGGAAGAUAAUGACUGUACCGGGAGAAUAAGCCCCGGCUAACUCCGUGCCAGCAGCCGCGGUAAUACGGAGGGGGCUAGCGUUGUUCGGAAUUACUGGGCGUAAAGCGCACGUAGGCGGCUUUGUAAGUCAGAGGUGAAAGCCUGGAGCUCAACUCCAGAACUGCCUUUGAGACUGCAUCGCUUGAAUCCAGGAGAGGUCAGUGGAAUUCCGAGUGUAGAGGUGAAAUUCGUAGAUAUUCGGAAGAACACCAGUGGCGAAGGCGGCUGACUGGACUGGUAUUGACGCUGAGGUGCCGAAAGCGUGGGGAGCAAACAGGAUUAGAUACCCCUGGUAGUCCACGCCGUAAACGAUGAUAACUAGCUGUCCGGGCACUUGGUGCUUGGGUGGC
RNAcentral lists this ribosomal RNA (775 nucleotides) under Sphingomonas sp. B291. Its description in RNAcentral is "bacterial SSU rRNA". It matches the Rfam family "Bacterial small subunit ribosomal RNA", at positions 28 to 847 of the family's 1533-position model. Lineage: Bacteria; Pseudomonadati; Pseudomonadota; Alphaproteobacteria; Sphingomonadales; Sphingomonadaceae. The record is from RNAcentral.